Rhinolophus ferrumequinum (greater horseshoe bat) is the source of this 1769-nucleotide long non-coding RNA. RefSeq lists it as uncharacterized. The record is from RefSeq and is a predicted model, not a curated record. The transcript has 4 exons. NCBI's taxonomy places the organism in Eukaryota, Metazoa, Chordata, Mammalia, Chiroptera, Rhinolophidae.
GGCGGCGGCGCUGGAAGUGGUGGCGCGGUGGGGCGCCUCGGUCCUCGCCUCCUAGGCUGGGCACUGUAGGAGCCGCCGGCUGUUUACAUUGUCCUACUUAAUAAUGGCUCCUGUUGACCCAGCGCCUCGCCCUGGAAGUGUAUUUCCCCUUUUAUCCUCACGGCCGGCCUCUGAGGGGAGUUCUUAGCCCCAUCGCGCAGCCCUAGGGACGCCCUAGCUGCUUCUGCGGUUGUGACCUGUGAUACUUCAGUAUUCUCUCUUUGCCUUUUCAAUUCUUCGGUUACUAAUGAACAGUUCUUCAUAUUUGAUUCUGCCUGUUAAAAUGACCGGUGUACUUUCUGUCUCCUGAUUGGACCCUGACUAAUAACACUCAUCAGAUCCCCAACCUGAGUGGGCUCAGGCUGUGACAGUUAGAAGCGGGAGCCAGCUCCCCACACCCCUGCCUGGCCUCCACUCCAAGGGGAAACAGCUGCUUCAGCCCCUUUUCUGGAAUCCUAUGGACUACAGAGGGAAGUGCCAUCUAAUCCGCCCUGGAAAAACCGGGCCAGCAGUUAAACCACACAAACAAAAGAGCUGCAGCUCCACAUAGAACGCCGUUGGGCCCAGGCCAAGACAAACAAACAGUCACAGCGAUCUGGGCCCCACCAAGGCUUCAGGCUUCCUGGGCCCCCACAGAGGGGGCUCGAGGAGGAGGGGCUGAAACCCCAGAGUCUCUCCUUCCUGGAUUCCAAGUCUCCCCUCACUCCCUCCAGGAUUCUCCAGAACAGGCUGCCCUGUUCUACUCUAAAACCUUCUGGAAAAUGUGGAGCUUUCCAUGGCUUACCUUCCUGGUACACAUCAAAGACCGUGAAGUGAACAUAAGGAGCUUCUGAAAAUAUCGCUGCCUGGACUUCACCAUUGAAUCAUCCUAAUAGUGGCUUCGGCUGAACCUCGGUGAGGAAGAUGCAACAGCAGGUGACCGUGUGACCUCCGCCACUAACCCCGGAGCUGCUCGUCACUUCUUCCCUGCAGACUUGGAGCAGCUGCCUCUGGCCUGGAGGGGAGCUCAGAGGGACCCGUGACUGACGCUCCCCUUGACCUCACUGGCCCCACCCAGGGACACUCUUCCUGGAAAAUGACCGUCUAGACUGCCAUCCUUAUUCUUGGUCUGGAGUUGCCAAUUCUAGAAUAUCCCUGAUGGAAAGGAACUUGCAGCCCAUCUGGUCCCAGUGUGGCAAACUUACCUCCUACCAAAGGCCACCUCUGCCUGAAGCAAUAAAUGGGGGUGGGGGGGUCAGAGUUCAGCUCAAGGACACUGUGGUCCAUUUGCUCCCGGGUGCAGUGUGGAGAGGGCAGAGGCCGCCAUGUGGGGUCCAUGCCACCUCUAGCCCAACUGCCCCCUCCUACAGAUGGGCAAACCGAGUAAGUGAAAUGAAAAUCCCUCCUAUUCCUUCACCUGACCCUCAACGUUAACCAGCUCUGACUGCCGUGUUAGCACAGGAGACGGGUUUGUGCGCCACCUGAACCAGCAUAGGGCAGGGCCUACAUCACACGUGGUGAUUACAACCAUCACACAAUUGGGAUCAUAGGCUAACGUCUAUGUCUUUUUGUCUUUCUUUAGAACUAUACUAAUAGAUUUCAGGAAACAAUUUAUUCACAAUCCACUUGACCUCCACCUCAAUGAACUGUAACCAUUAAAACCGUGUGUAUUUGUUACUUCAGCCAUUAAAAUAGUAUGUUUUAGAAAACAAUGGAAAUACUUGCUGGGACCCCUAAGACAGCCAGCUGGA